Molecule: ribosomal RNA, 253 nt
Filed under: uncultured bacterium
Lineage: Bacteria
Description: partial 16S ribosomal RNA
Rfam family: Bacterial small subunit ribosomal RNA
Source: RNAcentral
CACGUAGGGGGCGAGCGUUGUCCGGAUUUAUUGGGCGUAAAGAGCUCGUAGGCGGCUUGUCGCGUCGACUGUGAAAUCCCGCGGCUCAACUGCGGGUCUGCAGUCGAUACGGGCAGGCUAGAGUUCGGUAGGGGAGACUGGAAUUCCUGGUGUAGCGGUGAAAUGCGCAGAUAUCAGGAGGAACACCGGUGGCGAAGGCGGGUCUCUGGGCCGAUACUGACGCUGAGGAGCGAAAGCGUGGGGAGCGAACAGG